This is a non-coding RNA of Aedes albopictus (Asian tiger mosquito), 72 nucleotides long. The record is from Rfam. Lineage: Eukaryota; Metazoa; Arthropoda; Insecta; Diptera; Culicidae.
GGGUCGGUAGCUAAGUCGGUAAAGCACUUGUGUGGCAUAUAAGGGUCGUGAGUUAAAAUCUCACUUGAGCUG